AGGCCAGCCCCUGAAACAUCUUGGGCAAUGGAGGGUUAACUUCUCAAAGUUUAAUAGGCAAGACCAGCAACCACGCAACAAGAAGAUAUUCUAUAAAUGAUGAUUCAAUGAAUGCCAAGCCCUGUUCUAGGCACUGAAGACCAAAAGAAAUAAAAGACAUCAUUCCUGCUCUGACUUCAACUAACCAACUAAAGAACUGUUCCCCAGAGCAUUGUUCCUGAGAAGGAAAAGAGUCCAAACACCCACCCACACCUGCUUUGUGCCAAGAAUCCACAGUUGGAUUGCAAGGACAGUGCGUUCAAGACCCAGCUGUUGAGAGUAGAAAAGCAGAAGAAAGGACCCGAGGUCAGCAAGUGCCCUCCCUACAAUGGGGCAGGUCUGCCAGGGAGAAUCGGCUACAGCAGCUGAAAAACCAAAACUUCAUCUACUUACUGAAAGUGAGAUUGACAAGUAUCUCUAUGCCAUGCGGCUCUCCGAUGAAACUCUCAUAGAUAUCAUGACUCGCUUCAGGAAGGAGAUGAAGAAUGGCCUCUCCCGGGAUUUUAAUCCAACAGCCACAGUCAAGAUGUUGCCAACAUUCGUAAGGUCCAUUCCUGAUGGCUCUG
This 605-nucleotide small RNA is filed under the name Pan troglodytes (chimpanzee). Its description in RNAcentral is "processed transcript". The record is from RNAcentral. Lineage: Eukaryota; Metazoa; Chordata; Mammalia; Primates; Hominidae.